UACGGAGGGCGCUAGCGUUGUUUGGAAUCAUUGGGCGUAAAGCGCGUGUAGGCGGUCUGGUCAGUCGGGUGUGAAAUACCGGAGCUCAACUCCGGAACUGCAUUCGAUACUGCCAUGCUAGAGUCCCGGAGAGGGUGGUGGAAUUCCCGGUGUAGAGGUGAAAUUCGUAGAUAUCGGGAGGAACACAAGCGGCGAAGGCGGCCACCUGGACGGUGACUGACGCUGAGACGCGAAAGCGUGGGGAGCAAACAGG
Molecule: ribosomal RNA, 253 nt
Filed under: uncultured bacterium
Lineage: Bacteria
Description: partial 16S ribosomal RNA
Rfam family: Bacterial small subunit ribosomal RNA
Source: RNAcentral